GACGAACGCUGGCGGCGUGCCUAAUACAUGCAAGUCGAACGCUUCUUUCCUCCCGAGUGCUUGCACUCAAUUGGAAAGAGGAGUGGCGGACGGGUGAGUAACACGUGGGUAACCUACCCAUCAGAGGGGGAUAACACUUGGAAACAGGUGCUAAUAACGCAUAACAGUUUAUGCCGCAUGGCAUAAGAGUGAAAGGCGCUUUCGGGUGUCGCUGAUGGAUGGACCCGCGGUGCAUUAGCUAGUUGGUGAGGUAACGGCUCACCAAGGCCACGAUGCAUAGCCGACCUGAGAGGGUGAUCGGCCACACUGGGACUGAGACACGGCCCAGACUCCUACGGGAGGCAGCAGUAGGGAAUCUUCGGCAAUGGACGAAAGUCUGACCGAGCAACGCCGCGUGAGUGAAGAAGGUUUUCGGAUCGUAAAACUCUGUUGUUAGAGAAGAACAAGGACGUUAGUAACUGAACGUCCCCUGACGGUAUCUAACCAGAAAGCCACGGCUAACUACGUG
This 508-nucleotide ribosomal RNA is filed under the name uncultured bacterium. RNAcentral describes it as "partial 16S ribosomal RNA". It matches the Rfam family "Bacterial small subunit ribosomal RNA", at positions 28 to 507 of the family's 1533-position model. The record is from RNAcentral.